GCGGGGUCAUUAAUUGUUGUCUUGGGCCUAUUAGGGGCCUAAAACUUGACAAAUUCUGAUAAAACUUGGCAUGAUUUAAGCUUAGUAUAUUAUAAAACAGUUUACAAAGUUUCAAAGCCAUAUGAUACCAAAUAAAAAAAAUGUGGCAUUUUUUAUAUCUGAACUUUGGGUGCUGAAUUGUGGCGUUGAAUUAGAACAAUUUCAACUAUCAAAU
This 214-nucleotide long non-coding RNA is filed under the name Mytilus galloprovincialis (Mediterranean mussel). Lineage: Eukaryota; Metazoa; Mollusca; Bivalvia; Mytilida; Mytilidae. The record is from RNAcentral.